CUCAAACCCUUUGUCGUCCGACUAUGUUGCCUCGGGGGAGACCCUGCCUUCGGGCGGGUGGCACCCCGGUGGACCAAACCAAACUCUUGCGUAACAUGUCGUCUGAGUCGAUUUAAAAAUAAAUCAAAACUUUCAACAACGGAUCUCUUGGUUCUGGCAUCGAUGAAGAACGCAGCGAAAUGCGAUAAGUAAUGUGAAUUGCAGAAUUCAGUGAAUCAUCGAAUCUUUGAACGCACAUUGCGCCCCGUGGUAUUCCGCGGGGCAUGCCUGUUCGAGCGUCAUUACACCACUCAAGCCUCGCUUGGUAUUGGGCGACGCGGUUUUCCGCGCGCCUCAGAUCUCCCGGCUGGUUCGAAUCGUCCCUCAGCGUUGUGGAAACUAUUCGCUAAAGGUGCGCGCUUCGGUCACGCCGUUAAACAAGCCAACUCAUUAAAGGUUGACCUCGGAUUAGGUAGGGAUACCCGCUGAACUUAAGCAUAU
RNAcentral lists this ribosomal RNA (480 nucleotides) under uncultured Mycosphaerellaceae. Its description in RNAcentral is "eukaryotic LSU rRNA". The stretch from base 128 to 281 matches the Rfam family "5.8S ribosomal RNA". The record is from RNAcentral. Lineage: Eukaryota; Fungi; Ascomycota; Dothideomycetes; Mycosphaerellales; Mycosphaerellaceae.